CUUGGUUGAUCCUGCCAGUAGUCAUAUGCUUGUCUCGAAGAUUAAGCCAUGCAUGUGUAAGUAUGAACUAAUUCAGACUGUGAAAUUGUGAAUGGCUUAUUAAAUCAGUUAUAGUUUGUUUGAUGGUAUCUACUACUCGAAUAAUCAUAGUAAUUCUAGAGCUAAUACGUGUAACAAACCCCGACUUCUGGAAGGGAUGCAUUUAUUAGAUAAAAGGUUGACGUGGGCUAUGCCUGUUGCUUUGAUGAUUCAUGAUAACUCGACGGAUCGCACGACCUUUGUGCCAGUGACGCAUCAUUCAAAUUUCUACCCUAUCAACUUUCAAUGGUAGGAUAGUGGCCUACUAUGGUGGUGACGGGUGACGGAGAAUUAGGGUUUGAUUCCGGAGAGGUAGCCUGAGAAAUGGCUACCACAUCUAAGGAAGGCAGCAGGCGCGUAAAUUACCCAAUUUUGACACGGGGAGGUAGUGACAAUAAAUAACAAUACCAGGCUCCAUGAGUUUGGUAAUUGGAAUGAGUACAAUCUAAAUCCCUUAAUGAGGAUCCAUUGGAGGGUAAGUCUGGUGCCAGCAGCCGUGAUAAUUCCAGCUCCAAUAGCGUAUAUUUAAGUUGUUGCAGUUAAAAAGCUCGUAGUUGGAACUAGGGUUGGGUCUUUCGAUCUGCCUUACGGUGAGCAUCGGUCUACUCAUCCUUACUGUCGGUGAUACGCUCCUAGACUUAAUUGCUCGAGUCGUUCCUCUGGCGCUGUUACUUUGAAGAAAUUAGAGUGCUCAAAACAGGCCUAUGCUUGUAUACAUUAGCAUGGGAUAACAUCAUAGAUUUCGGUCCAAUUGUGUUGGCCUUUGGGAUUGGAGUAAUGAUUAACAGGGAUAGUCGGGGGCAUUCAUAUUUCAUAGUCAGAGGUGAAAUUUUUGGAUUUAUGAAAGACGAACAAUUACGAAAGCAUUUGCCAAGGAUGUUUUCAUUAAUCAAGAAUGAAAGUUAGGGGCUCGAAGAUGAUCAGAUACCGUCCUAGUCUCAACCAUAAAUGAUGCCGAUCAGGGAUCGGUGAAUGUUACUUUUAGGACUCCGUCGGUACCUUAUGAGAAAUCAAAGUCUUUGGGUUCUGUGGGGAGUAUGGUCACAAGGCUGAAACUUAAAGGAAUUGACGGAAGGGCACCACCAGGAGUAGAGCCUGUGGCUUAAUUUGACUCAACACGGGGAAAUUUACCAGGUCCAGACAUAGUAAGGAUUGACAGACUGAGAGCUCUUUCUUAAUUCUAUGGGUGGUGGUGCAUGGCCGUUCUUAGUUGGUAGAGCGAUUUGUUUGGUUAAUUUCAUUACCGAACGAGACCUUAACCUGCUAACUAGCUAUGCAAAGGUGAUCCUUCAUGGCUAGCUCCUUAGAGAGACUAUGGCCACUUAGGCCAAGGAAGUUUGAGGCAAUAACAGGUCCGUGAUGCUCUUAGAUGUUCUGGGCCGCACGUGCGCUACACUGAUGUAUUCAACAAGUCUAUAGCCUUGGUUGACAGGCCCGGGUAAUCUUUGAAAUUUUAUUGUGAUGGGGAUAGAUCAUUGCAAUUGUUGGUCUUCAACGAGGAAUUCCUAGCGAGCGCGAGUCAUCAGCUCGCAUUGACUACGUCCCUGCCCUUUAUACACAUCGCCCGUCGCUCCUACCGAUUGAAUGGUCCGAUGAAGUAUUCGGAUCGCAGCGACGUGGAUGGUCCACUGCCCAUGACGUCACGAAAAGCCCAUUGAACCUUAUCAUUUAAAGGAAGGAGAAGUCGUAACAAGGUCUCCAUAGGUGAACCUACAGAAG
RNAcentral lists this ribosomal RNA (1797 nucleotides) under Durio zibethinus. Its description in RNAcentral is "SSU rRNA". It matches the Rfam family "Eukaryotic small subunit ribosomal RNA". The record is from RNAcentral. Lineage: Eukaryota; Viridiplantae; Streptophyta; Magnoliopsida; Malvales; Malvaceae.